UACGUAGGGUGCGAGCGUUGUCCGGAAUUACUGGGCGUAAAGAGCUCGUAGGUGGUUUGUCGCGUUGUUCGUGAAAUCUCACGGCUUAACUGUGAGCGUGCGGGCGAUACGGGCAGACUAGAGUACUGCAGGGGAGACUGGAAUUCCUGGUGUAGCGGUGGAAUGCGCAGAUAUCAGGAGGAACACCGGUGGCGAGGGCGGGUCUCUGGGCAGUAACUGACGCUGAGGAGCGAAAGCGUGGGGAGCGAACAGG
This 253-nucleotide ribosomal RNA is filed under the name uncultured bacterium. Its description in RNAcentral is "partial 16S ribosomal RNA". It matches the Rfam family "Bacterial small subunit ribosomal RNA", at positions 524 to 776 of the family's 1533-position model. The record is from RNAcentral.